Molecule: ribosomal RNA, 253 nt
Filed under: uncultured bacterium
Lineage: Bacteria
Description: partial 16S ribosomal RNA
Rfam family: Bacterial small subunit ribosomal RNA
Source: RNAcentral
UACGUAGGGGGCAAGCGUUGUCCGGAAUCAUUGGGCGUAAAGAGCGUGUAGGCGGCCCGAUAAGUCCGCUGUGAAAGUCCAGGGAUCAACCCUGGGAUGCCGGUGGAUACUGUCGGGCUCGAGUCCGGAAGAGGAGUGUGGAAUUCCUGGUGUAGCGGUGAAAUGCGCAGAUAUCAGGAGGAACACCAAUGGCGAAGGCAGCACUCUGGGACGUGACUGACGCUGAGACGCGAAAGCGUGGGGAGCGAACAGG